Molecule: long non-coding RNA, 607 nt
Filed under: Homo sapiens (human)
Lineage: Eukaryota; Metazoa; Chordata; Mammalia; Primates; Hominidae
Description: HSALNT0322364
Source: RNAcentral
UUAGAAUCCUUGCCACUUCCAGCCCUUUGCCUAAGAUUAGCCUAUGGGAAGCAUGGCCUCUGUGUGAAUUGGUGGUGGAUUCAAAGCACAGCAUCUGGGGUCCUGUGUCAAUUACGCUCUCCUCAACAGAAGAUCUGAGUGGUGGUGCAUCUUCAUGGCUGCUGGCAGGCCCCGCUGUGUAAUUACGUCUGGAAUUGGUGGGUUCUUGGUCUCACCGACUUCAAGAAUGAAGCCGUGGAUCCUCGUGGUGAGUGUUACAGCUCUUAAGGUGACGCACCUGGAGUUUGUUCCUUCUGAUGUUCAGAUGUGUUUGGAGUUUCUUCCUUCUGGUGGGUUCGUGGUCUCGUUGGCUCAGGAGUGAAGUUGCAGACCUUGGCGCUGACAGAAUCAAGUUUUAAAGAUCCAGUUAAAUGCCUGGCUAUCAACUUGCCAAGAGCUGAUCCAGAUGGAAGCCAUCAUCCUAAGAGUCAGACAACUCAUUAACUCUAAAGGGACUGCCAUGUAUUAAAAAUUCUCUUUAUGGAUUGUGAUGAGUUGCAUUGUUUGAUUUAUUCUUUUGUAUUCAAACUAUAUUUAUGGUGUAUCUAGAAAUAAAAUUACCUUUAAG